AUUGAACGCUGGCGGCAGGCCUAACACAUGCAAGUCGCACGAGUGGCGGACGGGUGAGUAAUGUCUGGGAAACUGCCCGAUGGAGGGGGAUAACUACUGGAAACGGUAGCUAAUACCGCAUACCAUCGGAUGUGCCCAGAUGGGAUUAGCUAGUAGGUGGGGUAACUGCUCACCUAGGCGACGAUCCCUAGCUGGUCUGAGAGGAUUACCAGCAACACGGGAACUGAGACACGGUCCAGAAUCCUACGGGAGGCAGCAGUGGGGAAUAUUGACCAAUGGGCGCAAGCCUGAAGCAGCCAUGCCGCGUGUAUGAAGAAGGCCUUCGGUUUGUAAAGUACUUUCAGCGAGGAGGCGUUACUCGCAGAAGAAGCACCGGCUAACUCCGUGCCAGCAGCCGCGGUAUAC
This 405-nucleotide ribosomal RNA is filed under the name uncultured bacterium. Its description in RNAcentral is "partial 16S ribosomal RNA". It matches the Rfam family "Bacterial small subunit ribosomal RNA", at positions 30 to 526 of the family's 1533-position model. The record is from RNAcentral.